AUACGUAGGGGGCGAGCGUUGUCCGGAAUGAUUGGGCGUAAAGGGCGCGUAGGCGGCCUGUUAAGUCUGGAGUGAAAGUCCUGUUUUCAAGAUGGGAAUUGCUUUGGAUACUGAUGGGCUUGAGUGCAGGAGAGGUUAUCGGAAUUCCCGGUGUAGCGGUGAAAUGCGUAGAGAUCGGGAGGAACACCAGUGGCGAAGGCGGGUAACUGGACUGCAACUGACGCUGAGGCGCGAAAGUGUGGGGAGCAAACAGGAUUAGAUACCCUGGUAGUCCACACUGUAAACGAUGAAUGCUAGGUGUAAGAGGUAUCGACCCCUGUUGUGCCGGAGUCAACACAAUAAGCAUUCCGCCUGGGGAGUACGGCCGCAAGGUUGAAACUCAAAGGAAUUGACGGGG
RNAcentral lists this ribosomal RNA (397 nucleotides) under uncultured bacterium. Its description in RNAcentral is "partial 16S ribosomal RNA". It matches the Rfam family "Bacterial small subunit ribosomal RNA", at positions 523 to 918 of the family's 1533-position model. The record is from RNAcentral.